Molecule: ribosomal RNA, 253 nt
Filed under: uncultured bacterium
Lineage: Bacteria
Description: partial 16S ribosomal RNA
Rfam family: Bacterial small subunit ribosomal RNA
Source: RNAcentral
CACGUAGGGGGCAAGCGUUGUCCGGAAUCAUUGGGCGUAAAGAGCUCGUAGGCGGUUUGUUGCGUCGGCUGUGAAAUCCCGAGGCUCAACCUCGGGUCUGCAGUCGAUACGAGCAAACUAGAGUGUUGCAGGGGAGACUGGAAUUCCUGGUGUAGCGGUGAAAUGCGCAGAUAUCAGGAGGAACACCGGUGGCGAAGGCGGGUCUCUGGGCAACAACUGACGCUGAGGAGCGAAAGCGUGGGGAGCGAACAGG